GAUGAACGCUGGCGGCGUGCCUAAUACAUGCAAGUCGAGCGAACAGACGAGGAGCUUGCUCCUCUGACGUUAGCGGCGGACGGGUGAGUAACACGUGGAUAACCUACCUAUAAGACUGGGAUAACUUCGGGAAACCGGAGCUAAUACCGGAUAAUAUAUUGAACCGCAUGGCUCAAUAGUGAAAGACGGUUUUGCUGUCACUUAUAGAUGGAUCCGCGCCGCAUUAGCUAGUUGGUAAGGUAACGGCUUACCAAGGCAACGAUGCGUAGCCGACCUGAGAGGGUGAUGGGCCACACUGGAACUGAGACAGGGUCCAGACUCCUACGGGAGGCAGCAGUAGGGAAUCUUCCGCAAUGGGCGAAAGCCUGACGGAGCAACGCCGCGUGAGUGAUGAAGGUCUUCGGAUCGUAAAACUCUGUUAUUAGGGAAGAACAAAUGUGUAAGUAACUAUGCACGUCUUGACGGUACCUAAUCAGAAGGCCACGGCUAACUACGUG
RNAcentral lists this ribosomal RNA (497 nucleotides) under uncultured bacterium. RNAcentral describes it as "partial 16S ribosomal RNA". It matches the Rfam family "Bacterial small subunit ribosomal RNA", at positions 28 to 507 of the family's 1533-position model. The record is from RNAcentral.